Molecule: non-coding RNA, 3444 nt
Organism: Durio zibethinus
Lineage: Eukaryota; Viridiplantae; Streptophyta; Magnoliopsida; Malvales; Malvaceae
Source: RefSeq, a predicted model, not a curated record
AAAAGUUAAAACACAAAAUUAAUUAAGAUGAUCAAAAUGAGCAAAACAGAAAGAAACAGUAGAUCUUCCGGAUCCGACCCGGUCAAUCCUGGGUAAAGCUGUACCCGUCAAAGAUAUAAGCGGCGAAACCGGAGAAAAGGAAGCAGGAAAAAAGAACAAAAAAAAGAAAAGGAUCUCGUUUCUCUGUUUCCACGUAUUCCUACCUUAAACCCUACCUCCUAAAAUCUUGAUACUGAGAUCCAAGCUUUCCCGCACUAUCGAGACUCUUUCUUCUUCACUUGAUACCUGUAUUUGAGAUAAUCUUUCAAAUGUGCUGGAAUGGCCAACAAUUCUCAACCCUCUAGUGCCCAGGUGCAACAUUGGCCUCCUGCAGUUGGAUCCUUGGGUCCUCAAAGUUAUGGCUCUCCCUUGUCUUCACAGUUUCGACCGCUGCUCCCAGCACAAUAAAGACAGCAUUUUGUUCCAGCUGCUUCCCAACAGUUUCGGCCUGUUGGGCAGGUCCCCUCUUCAAAUGUUGGGAUUCCAGCUGUUCAAAAUCCGCAGAUGCAGUUUUCUCAGCCAAUGCAGCAGUUUACACCCUGGCCAAAUCAACCUGUCUUUCUACACCUUCAGCACAGCCUAUACAAGUACCAUAUAGUCAAACAAAUAGAUCUCUUACGUCUGAAUCACCACAGUCACAUGAAACUGGUCCCCCUUUGAAUAGUCAUAUGCCAGGCUUAGGGGCCCCUGGAAUGCCCCCCUCUUCAUCAUAUAGUUUUGCACCAUCUUCUUUUGGCCUCCCCCAGAACAAUGUCAGCACACUGCCCCAGUUUCACCCUAUAACUUAAGUGCAUGCACCGGUUGCACCAGUUGCUGGACAACCUUGGUUGUUAACCGGAAAUCAGAGUGUUUCACUCGCUGCACUAAUACAGCAGGCUAGCCAACAACCUCCACUCAUUUCUUCUGCUGAUUGAGCUGCCAAUGUUCCUAGCCUUACUCUGCAAUCAUCUGACUGGUAAGAGCGUACAUCUGCCGAGGGAAGAAGAUACUAUUACGACAAAAAGACGAGGCAAUGUAGUUGGGAAAAGCCUCUGGAACUGAUGAUGCCAAUAGAGGUGAGGCACAUGAAAAUCUGGUUGCUGUUUCUGCAGUUAAAUUUUGUUCCAUGAUCUGUUAACCUUGGAUUUGUUGUGAUAUGCUAUUUAUACAAAUUGUUCCCUUUAAUGGAUGCUGAAAACUGUAACCAUUCUUAACUUGAUCAAAAUUGUUUUAUGCAAAAUCUCCUUUUUUUUGCUUGUUUUUGCAUUGGUUUGUAGACGUCAUGGCAAGUGUGGAGACAUUUAACGACUGCUCUAAAUGGUCACUUUGAGGGCGGGCCUUCACUUUUCUCAAGGCAGGCAACAUUUUGCUAUUUCCAUCUUGUUUAUAAUGUGGGAUAAUUUUUUUACAAGGAAUGAUUAGAUAUAUUGGCAUACUAAAUCAAUGCCUAGUAUUAACUGUUCAAUUUUUUCAUAAUUUCCUACUCUUUAGUGAAGUUUUUAGGAUGGCGAUAAUACUAUUCCCCCCAUUAAUACAGUUAUCCAAUCUACUUUUAGACUUAUAUUGCCUAGAUAUAUUUCUCUCUUUCUUUUGGUGGCUCUUUCACUAGUCCAUGUGUUUUUCUAAUACUGUAUCUUAUUUUAGGCAAACGUCAUUUAUGCUUCAUACUGCAAUGAAUUUAUAGAUUGAUGUAAAGGAAUUCAUUAUGCUCUUCAUUGUGUAUUUCUCUCGUAUUAAACCUUCUUUGUUGUUCACUUACAUCUGGUGCUUCUGAUUUUAUGUUGUUACUUGUUCACUUUUUUCCUCCUUUAUGGUUUUAUUGUUGCAAGCUUGUGUUUGUAAUGGUUUAUCAAGAGUUCCACAGGUACAUGUUGGCUACUGAUUUCAGAGGUAUGAAAUGCUGGGUCAAUGGCUCUUGUUGUAUUUAUCAUUUCUCUUACUUAAAUACUUGUUGCUAUUGAUUCUAUAAAGAUUCCUUUGGGAUGGAAUUUGAUGUCAAUAUAUGUUUUUUGUGUCGUAUGCAUUCUAGAAUUUGUGUUCUUUUUUCUGGGUAAUUUCUGAUGGUUCCCUGGAAAAUAUAUUUAAAGUUUCUUACUUGACUGAUGGGAACAUCUUUAAGAUUUGGCUUACGCAAAGUUUUACUAUUUGUAAUAAAAAAGUAUGAUUUACGUUUAGGUUCACCAUUGCACCUGAAGGAAAAGGGUUUUAUUUGUUGUUGAACUAAAUGAGGCAUAUGUUACCUUGGAUCCAUUUUAGAUGAUGUUAAGGGCAUGCAAGUUAAGAUUUCAAGAUUAACCCUAGCACAUUCACAAGGUGAAGAAGAAUUUGGAGGUUACCAGUGGGCUAAAUUCUCACCCAACAUUGAGAGCCAAUACACACCCUUUUAUUUUGCAUUUAAGAUGAACAACCAUUUGGAGUUGCUGUGUAAUUAUCAUUCUUAAGCAUCACAAUCCUAAGAUCAUUUCCUCCCCUUGGUGGUUUCCUGCCGUGCACUUUCACUAGAUCAAUUGCAGAAGAGAGCUUUAGGAGAGAGAACUUUGAGUAAUAUAAUGCACACUUACAAGAGAAAGCUAAAGAAAAGGAGCGCAAACGUGAGAAGGAAAAGGUGUGUGAAUCUUAACUAGAAUGUCCCAAGUAGUUGGUGGUUAAAAAUCCUGUAUAUUCAAAAAAAUAACUUUGACAUAUUUAUGAGGGACCUCACUCUUUGGUCACAAUUAAGUAACUUUAGUUUGUUUCAAACCUUUAAGUAUAUCAUAAUGGUGUGAAAUAAUAUGAGCACUUGUAUAUAGCAUUUUGUUUUUUAGCUUUCCCUUGAUUUUUCCUGAAUUAGAUAUGCAUUUCAUAUGGUAUAAAACCACACGGUUGGUUGCAGGCUAAAAAGGAGAAAGAGAAGGAGAGAAAGGAGAAGGAAAGAGAACAUGAAAGGGAAAAAGGAAAGGAGCGAACUAAAAAAGAUGAAACAUAUAGUGAGAAUUUAGAUAUUUCUGACAGUUAUCGCCAUAAAGAGGGCAAGAAAAAGGAGAAGCAAAAAGUUAGGAAACACUGUAAAUGACAAGUGCUGCUGAUGACGGGAGUUCAGACAAGGUGAUAGAUAGGAGUCCAAGAAUUCUCAUAGACAUGUCAGUGCCGUAAGAAAUCAAGAAAGCAUGCACACUCACCUGAAUCAGACAGUGAAAGCCGGUAUAAAAAGCGCAAGAGAGAUCAUCGUGAUGGAUUGCAUAGAAGCAGUGGUUAUGAGGACCUGGAAGAUGGUGAACUCGUUGAGGAUGGUGAAAUCCAGUGGUUUCCUAUUCUAUUGAUGCAAAAUGCAAAGAAACCAAUUUGGCGAUUUAUUAAACUACUUGAGAUUUUAUUGCUACGUUGUUGUAUUUUAUAAGCUUAAUUGUAAUUGUCUAUAGAUUUAGGACUUUUAGAUUAUUUAGGCAA